This 83-nucleotide transfer RNA is filed under the name Coniosporium apollinis. RNAcentral describes it as "tRNA-Arg". It matches the Rfam family "tRNA". Rfam says of the family: Transfer RNA (tRNA) molecules are approximately 80 nucleotides in length. Their secondary structure includes four short double-helical elements and three loops (D, anti-codon, and T loops). Further hydrogen bonds mediate the characteristic L-shaped molecular structure. tRNAs have two regions of fundamental functional importance: the anti-codon, which is responsible for specific mRNA codon recognition, and the 3' end, to which the tRNAs corresponding amino acid is attached (by aminoacyl-tRNA synthetases). tRNAs cope with the degeneracy of the genetic code in two manners: having more than one tRNA (with a specific anti-codon) for a particular amino acid; and 'wobble' base-pairing, i.e. permitting non-standard base-pairing at the 3rd anti-codon position. Lineage: Eukaryota; Fungi; Ascomycota; Dothideomycetes. The record is from RNAcentral.
GGGUGGUUGGCGCAAUGGUAGCGCGUUGGUUUUCGGUUACCGGAAGACACCAAAGGUUGUGGGUUCGAGCCCCAUGCUGCUCG